RNAcentral lists this long non-coding RNA (939 nucleotides) under Eucalyptus grandis. RNAcentral's name for it is "long non-coding RNA (EGRA_LNC001924)". The record is from RNAcentral. Lineage: Eukaryota; Viridiplantae; Streptophyta; Magnoliopsida; Myrtales; Myrtaceae.
AAGGUAUGGCACUUCUUUAUCAAGAUGGAUUGACUAUUAUGGAUGCAUGCAUCUCCGUAGGGAAUUAUCUUGGUGCCUCCCGAUUCUUAUGUGAUAUAUGAAAUUCUGUUGCCAAUGAUAUGUGAAGACCUUUUCUUCUUGCUAGAUGAGAGAUCUUGGAAAUUAUAACCAAAGAAACGUUUUUCCAUGAAGAGGUGAAAUUAUAACUGGAAAACGUUUUUCCAUGAAGAGGUUAAUUUUAGGAAUACUACUACAUAUAAAUUACUUCAAAUGAGGAGAAAUCCUGAAGUUUGAAGAUGGAAACUUACCUACCCUAUUAAGACCUGCAAAUUCUAGUGUGGCUGAAGGAAACAAUUUCCCUGGUUUACAUGAACCUUGCGGGUCACCCCAUGACCAGAGUUUGUAAUUUUGGUUUUGCGGAGUGAAUUUGGCUGGUUCGUGUCUCCUGCCGUGGUCCUUGCUUGGGUGACCAGAUCCACUGACCAUCUGGGCUUAGCUUAGCGACUUCGAUCAACUAAAAUUGUUACAACCUGGACUCCAAUGGAUCUGGUAUGGAAUUUGGGGGACCCAUGCUUGAUGGUUCCUGUGCCCCGGACCAAAUAUGUUGAUAAUCACUUUUAUGGGGAUAGGAGAGGAUUGUGUCAGGCAAGGGCUCCAAUUUGUCCUGUGACCUUGGUGAUUACAAUGCCCCCCCUGACUUCAUGAACUUACCUUUAAUAGAAAAAGAAUCCCUACGUCCUUUGUCAUCUAAAGUUAAAUCUCUGAUAUUGAAGUGUUUAUCUUGUGGUUACCUUUAAUAGAAAAAGAAUCCCUAUGUCCUGGAAGUUGCUGUAUGCUACAAUAUGAUUCAUUUGGUUCAAUCUCUGUUUGUGCAGACAUAUGGGCCGAUUAUAGCUGGAGUUCCCCAGCUGCUAUCGAAAUUUUCCUUCAACAUAAUUG